This 533-nucleotide ribosomal RNA is filed under the name Acrocephalus arundinaceus (great reed warbler). RNAcentral describes it as "partial 12S ribosomal RNA". It matches the Rfam family "Bacterial small subunit ribosomal RNA", at positions 801 to 1533 of the family's 1533-position model. The record is from RNAcentral. Lineage: Eukaryota; Metazoa; Chordata; Aves; Passeriformes; Sylviidae.
GUAUGCUCAACCUUACCGGAGCAUCGCCCGUAGAACUACGAGCGCAAACGCUUAAAACUCUAAGGACUUGGCGGUGUCCCAAACCCACCUAGAGGAGCCUGUUCUGUAAUCGAUGAUCCACGAUAUACCUGACCAUUCCUUGCCACAAACAGCCUAUAUACCGCCGUCGCCAGCCCACCCACAGUGAAGGACCAACAGUGGACGCAAUAGCCCCAUUACGCUAAUACGACAGGUCAAGGUAUAGCCUAUGGAAUGGAAGCAAUGGGCUACAUUUUCUAAGCUAGAACAUAACGGCAAAGGGACAUGAAAUUGUCCCUGGAAGGAGGAUUUAGCAGUAAAGUGGGACAAUCGAGCCCUCUUUAAGCCGGCCCUGGGACACGUACAUACCGCCCGUCACCCUCCUCAAAAGCGACCCAAACCCCCCCCAUAAACUAAUAAAUUAUCCAGCCAAAGAUGAGGUAAGUCGUAACAAGGUAAGUGUACCGGAAGGUGCACUUAGGAUACCAAGAUGUAGCUUAGCCAAAAGCAUUCAG